RNAcentral lists this ribosomal RNA (39 nucleotides) under Cladonia squamosa. RNAcentral's name for it is "partial 28S ribosomal RNA". Lineage: Eukaryota; Fungi; Ascomycota; Lecanoromycetes; Lecanorales; Cladoniaceae. The record is from RNAcentral.
UUGACCUCGGAUCAGGUCAGGGAUACCCGCUGAACUUAA